CUCUUAGAUGUUCUGGGCUGCACGCGUGCUACACUGAUUACUUCAACAAGUGUUUUAACUGGAGAGUUCGCGUAAUCCUGAAAUGUUAUCGUGAUGGGAGUAGAGUAUUGUAUUUGUUAAUCUUUAACGAGGACUUCCUAGUAAGUGUAGGUUUAUUUGUUUUUUUUUUACGUCCCUGCCCUUUGUACACACCGCCCGUCGCUCCUACCGAUUGAUUGAUCCGGUGAAUUACAUAGAAUUUUGCGUUUUACAUGACGGAAGAUGAAGUGUUUUAAACCUUAUCAUUUAGAGGAAGGAGAAGUCGUGACA
Molecule: ribosomal RNA, 309 nt
Filed under: uncultured eukaryote
Lineage: Eukaryota
Description: partial 18S ribosomal RNA
Rfam family: Eukaryotic small subunit ribosomal RNA
Source: RNAcentral